GGUUCGUUGGUGUAGUUGGUUAUCACGUCCGUCUCACAACUAUGUUGCGCACGGGAGGUCUCCGGUUCGAGCCCGGAUCGAACCA
Pleurotus ostreatoroseus is the source of this 85-nucleotide non-coding RNA. Lineage: Eukaryota; Fungi; Basidiomycota; Agaricomycetes; Agaricales; Pleurotaceae. The record is from the annotation of a GenBank genome assembly.